CUACGGAGGGUCCAAGCGUUAUCCGGGAUCAUUGGGUUUAAAGGGUCCGCAGGCGGUCAAUUAAGUCAGAGGUGAAAGCCCAUCGCUCAACGAUGGAACUGCCUUUGAUACUGGUUGACUUGAGUUAUACGGAAGUAGAUAGAAUAAGUAGUGUAGCGGUGAAAUGCAUAGAUAUUACUUAGAAUACCGAUUGCGAAGGCAGUCUACUACGUAUAUACUGACGCUGAGGGACGAAAGCGUGGGGAGCGAACAGGAUUAGAAACCCCUGUAGUCC
This 274-nucleotide ribosomal RNA is filed under the name uncultured bacterium. RNAcentral describes it as "partial 16S ribosomal RNA". It matches the Rfam family "Bacterial small subunit ribosomal RNA", at positions 523 to 796 of the family's 1533-position model. The record is from RNAcentral.